CUUAGUCAACACCAUACCAUCCAAAUAGCUGAUCUCAUCUGAUUUCAGAAGCUAAGCAGAGUAAGGUUUCAGUUACUGCUUGGACUGGGAGACCACCUGGGAUCUGUGAAUUAGGGCUAAGA
This 122-nucleotide ribosomal RNA is filed under the name Pogona vitticeps (central bearded dragon). The record is from RNAcentral. Lineage: Eukaryota; Metazoa; Chordata; Lepidosauria; Squamata; Agamidae.